AUUGAACGCUGGCGGCAGGCCUAACACAUGCAAGUCGAGCGGAUGAAGGGAGCUUGCUCCUGGAUUCAGCGGCGGACGGGUGAGUAAUGCCUAGGAAUCUGCCUGGUAGUGGGGGAUAACGUCCGGAAACGGGCGCUAAUACCGCAUACGUCCUGAGGGAGAAAGUGGGGGAGCUUCGGACCUCACGCUAUCAGAUGAGCCUAGGUCGGAUUAGCUAGUUGGUGGGGUAAAGGCCUACCAAGGCGACGAUCCGUAACUGGUCUGAGAGGAUGAUCAGUCACACUGGAACUGAGACACGGUCCAGACUCCUACGGGAGGCAGCAGUGGGGAAUAUUGGACAAAGGGCGAAAGCCUGAUCCAGCCAUGCCGCGUGUGUGAAGAAGGUCUUCGGAUUGUAAAGCACUUUAAGUUGGGAGGAAGGGCAGUAAGUUAAUACCUUGCUGUUUUGACGUUACCAACAGAAUAAGCACCGGCUAACUUCGUG
Molecule: ribosomal RNA, 484 nt
Filed under: uncultured bacterium
Lineage: Bacteria
Description: partial 16S ribosomal RNA
Rfam family: Bacterial small subunit ribosomal RNA
Source: RNAcentral